RNAcentral lists this long non-coding RNA (6393 nucleotides) under Brassica napus (rape). Its description in RNAcentral is "long non-coding RNA (BNAP_LNC007077)". The stretch from base 3049 to 3155 matches the Rfam family "Plant small nucleolar RNA R71". Lineage: Eukaryota; Viridiplantae; Streptophyta; Magnoliopsida; Brassicales; Brassicaceae. The record is from RNAcentral.
UGCAUACAAUGCUCAAUCUCCAUUGUUCUACCCUUUUCCCAAACAUAUCAUUACACAAUCAUUCCCAAAUGUCAAACCCAACUCACAUCUCUCACCAAAAGAUCUUAAGAACUUUAACUCUUUCUUUUUGAAAUCUACAAGGGAUUUUUCUACAACCUCAAAACAUUUCUUAGCUCCUAACAACUUUGCUAGCCCCCUUUUCUUUCUUUUCUUUUUUUUUUUUUUCGAUUUCUUUUUUUUUAUAUUUUUUUUUUUUUUUCGAUUUCUUUUUUUUUAUAUUUUUUUUUUUUUUUCGAUUUCUUUUUUUUUAUAUUUUUUUUUUUUUUUCGAUUUCUUUUUUUUUAUAUUUUUUUUUUUUUUUCGAUUUCUUUUUUUUUAUAUUUUUUUUUUUUUUUAGGUUGGGGGCCAAGACUUUUCAAAACUAGAGCUAGAGGUUCUCUACUUAUCCCAGAAAAUCAAUUCACUUAAGCACAAAGAGUCUAUUCUUUUUCCUUUUUCAUUUCUCCCAAAUCAUAAUCACAACACUCACCCCCACCUAUAGCUAGACAAUAGAGUAUCCAAUCUAGCAAGAAUGAAGAUCAAGCAUUGUCGUUCCCGAUACUCUCAACAUUAUGCACAUGUAAGACUUUCCGAAAAAGGCCUCACUCAUCAAACAAUGAAAGCUUAAAAGGAGGAAAAGGUUUUGGGAGUGGUCUACCACUAGAGUUUGUCAAAAAAAGAUUGGUAUAAAAGAUGUGACAACUCAAGUGUGUAUAGCCAUGACUCAGUACACAAGGGACCAUGAGCAAGAAGCAUUAAGUUCGUUCAGUUCAAAUAAGGUUGUAGUUGGCUUCAAAGACUGAGUUUCAGCAAUCAACAAGUUUCAGGAAGAGUUUUCAAGGCUCGAAACAUACAAGUCUUUUUGAGAGGUGCAAAAGCUACUCAGGUGCAACGUAGUGUUCUUUACAAGACAUUUAAAAUCAUUGCUCCCAAUGCAUGUGAAUGCAACCUAUAUGCUCUAGACUCUCCUAGAAAUGCAAAUGAUGCAAACUAAAUGAUUGAUUUUUUUUUUUUUAUAUGCAAAUAGGUAUGCAAUGCAUGACUCAAUGAAACAACAUCAAAGCAAACAUGAUCAAAUACUUGGUACCUCCCCCAAACUUGAGUUACACAGUCUCUGUGUUGUCAAGUAGAGAGAGAGAUACCGAAAAGAAGACUAAUAUGCAAAAAUAAAAUGGUAUAUACAGGGGAGUGUGAUGGGUUACCUUCUAUGGGGAAUGAGUAGAGGGAGAUGAUCCCUCCUCGUCGUCCUCAGGUGGUAACUCUUCAAGGUGCUCAUCAGCAGGAGUGUCCAUCUCUUCAAUGUAGAAGGCUUGCCCGAACACAGUUGGUUUCCUCAUUUUCCUCUUGAUGUCAAAGUGGAGGAUGUUCUCUUUACCCAAAUGGAGAUCAAUCGUGCCUUCCUUCACAUUAACAAUAGCUCCUGCUGUAGCUAAGAAUGGUCUUCCUAGAAUCAAUGGAUCUUGAGCCUCCUCACCCAUCUCAAGCACCACAAAAUCUGUAGGUAUCUCAUACCUUCCAAUCUUCACAGGGAGGUCCUCUAAGAUGCCCACAGGAUACUUCACUGAACGAUCAGCUAACACCAGAGAGAGUCUACACUUCUUGAACUGGGUGAAUCCAAGCUUCUUUGCAACAGACAAAGGCAUCAAGCUGACACUAGCUCCCAAAUCGCAGAGACUUUUCUCAAAUACCAUAGGUCCAAGAGCACAAGGUAGUGUGAAGCUUCCUGGAUCCUCUAAUUUCUCUGAAGCAUCAAGCCUCUGGAUGAUGGCAUUGCACUCAUGGGUAAGAAUCAUCAUGCCUUCCAUCUCCUUCUUCUUUGCAGCUACAGCAUCUUUCAAGAACUUGCUGUAUUGAGGAAUCAACAUAAAAGCAUCGAUGAUGGGCAUUGCAACCUGAGCUUCACUCAUUUGCUUCUCAAACAGAGCCUUGUAUUUCUCUAGCAGCUGCCUCUUGAAUCUACCAGGGAAUGGUAGUUUGGGUUCAUAGGGAGGAGGAACAAAAGAACUUUCACUUGCUGGAGUAACAACUUCACCAUCUUUUACUGUCUUCUUCUCUUCCCCAACCUUUCCUUUACCUUUGGCUUCUACUAUCUUUUCCAAGAUCUCGUCAUUGAUCUUCUCAUCAACAAUCACCACUUCAUCAUCUAUGUUGAUGGCAACCCCCUCACCUAGUUUCUCAGCAUCCUUGGUGAGGGUUUUAGGAGGUAACUGUUUACCACUCCUAAGGGUGAUAGCUUUGGCCUCCUUGGGGUUUUGGUCAGACUUUCCAGGUAGAGAUCCUUGCUGGCGAUUCUGGUGAGUGUUCAUGGAAGCAAACUGAUUCUCUAAAUUCCUGACUGUAGAAGCAAGGUGAGAGAAUUUGUUGUUGAGCUCAUUGUAGCUCCCAUCAAUCUUGGUAUGAAGGUUCUUCAACUCAUAACCAACAUGCUUCUCACUUCUAGUCUGAGACUCCAAGAUUUGUUUCAGUAAGGUAUCAGUGCUGCUCUCUUGAGGAGCAGAGGAGCCAGACGAGGGGUUUUGCUGAGGCUGAUAGCUGCCUUGCUGGUUGUUUCUAGGCGGAUAACCACUCUGUUGGUUGUUGGGAUAGGAUUUCUGUUGGUAGUUGUUGUACUGAAAGUUGGGCUCCUUUUUGUACCAGCUACCAUUGUUGUUGAUGAAGCACAACUCUUCCUGACCUUCCAAACCCUCAACCUCAUUGACAGCAAGUGGAUCUUCCUGCCUGGAGUUACCAACAAACUUCAGCUGCUCUUGGGUGGCUUUUUCAGCAAUGAGAAGGUCGAUCUUGUCUUCCAAAGCUUUGAUCUCUUUCCUCGUCUGCUUAUCAUCUGUUCUACUGCCUCUGUCGUGGUCUCCACUGUAGACUGCAUCACUCUUUACCAUGUUGUCAACCAGCUCUUCUGCAUCCUCCUCAGUUCUCCCCAAGAAAAACCCAUUGCUAGCUGUAUCCAGUCUAGCUCUGUACUUAGGAAGAGCACCACGGUAGAAUGUGCUCAGCAAGCUCUCCUUAGAAAAGCCAUGGUGUGGGCAUUGAGCUUGGUAGCCCUUGAAUCUCUCCCAGGCUUCACUGAAGCCUUCCAAGUUCUUCUGUUGAAAGCUGGAAAUCUCGUUUCUCAGCUUAGCAGUUCUUGAAGUAGAGAAGAACUUCUCCAAGAAUGCUUUCUUGCAGUCAUCCCAAGUGGUGAUGGAGUCGCUGGGUAGAGACUUCUCCCACUGACGUGCUUUAUCCCCCAAAGAGAAAGGGAAUAGCUUGAGCUUUAAGGCAUCUUCGGACACACCAUUGGUUUUUGACAACCCACAGUAGCUGUCGAACCUGUCCAAGUGAUCAAAUGGAUCCUCUAGAGCCAAGCCAUGAUACUUGUUGUUCUCGAUCACAUUGAGGAGUCCUGAUUUGAUCUCAAAGUUGUUGGCUGCUACAGCUGGUGCUCGGAUUCCCAAUCUAUGACCAUGAAUGUUGGGGCGGUCAUAAGUGCCAAUAGGUCGCGCUGCUCGCUGUUGGUUUUGAGGUAUGUCUCCCAUAUCAGUAUCCAAUCUCUGCAAGUGAGCCUGUUGCUCUUCUUCUCUUCUCUUUCUAGCACACUCUCUCUCUAAAGCUCUGAUAUCUGCAGCUCUUGGAACUAGGUUUGAUGGACCCCUGCUCCUCAAGUGCAUACACUUCAUGAGUGUAAGACCCAUUCCUGGUCUCUCGACCCAACUGGAUACGAAUGCUUACUUAUUAAUUUCUUUGCUUGUCUGAUUCAUUCUAAGUCUUUUCUUUACUAAGUCAUAUUCGAAUAUGAGGUUCAAAGAAGAAUCAGUAACAAAAGAAAAUAAAAAUGACUUAGUCUCAAGCAAGUGACUAAAUCUCAAUGUUUAAAUCUACUCAGAAUUUGGCAACGGCGCCAAUUUGAUGUUAGGAGUUUUCAAGGCUCCUAAGACAAAUGUUGUAGUAUAAAUGAUUGUCGAACCAGUUCUGAGGGAUAUCAAAGCACUGAGAAUGCAAGUACUCACUUAAUCUAAGUGCAACCAAUGAUUUAGAAGGGUUUUAAACUAUGACUAAAACUAGAAAGCAAUAACAGAAUGAUACUUUUUUGACUAAAGGAAAAGAGAACUCAUGGGUAUAGGGAUUAGACCUUGGGUGAUCAAGUAUCGAACUAAGGAUGGCAAAUGAUCAAUCAAACAAUCAACCUUAAGCCUAGACACAAUUCUAAACAAGCUCUAUGUCUAGAUGAAUGCUCAUUUGCUAACAUAUCUCAAACAUCAAAUGUCUUUGGUUGAAUAAUAUGAAAGCAAUCAUUACUAACAAGUCUAUUAGCUAUCUUAGCAUCUUUAACAACAAAUGUCUUUGGCAAAGUAUACUAAAAGCCUAGGAGAGUUGUCUCGGGCAUUUCAUCGAACACCUUUCGGGUGAGAAAUGCCUAAGGAUCAACAACUGAGUGGCCAACUCAGAAGAUGCAUUAUGAUUACUCUACUAGCAAGGAAAUAUGAAUGAUCUACACUAAAACAUCCUAGAACUAACCUAAUCACCCUUAAUCUCCCUAACCCAUGAAUUCAAAAGGUGAUUACUCACUAAUCUCCAUGAUUCCUCUUAAACCCAUAUUGGAUUUCAGAUUAAUCAUGUAGAGAAAUAGAUAAGAAAUCAACAAUAACACAAGAACAUAACAAUCAAAAUCCAAGAGAUUCUUGUGUAUUUCUCAAUAGAUCAAAAGAUAAAAGAUAAUCUGCCACUGGUCGCUACAAAAGAUGUUUAAAACAUAGGUUUAGAAAAUAAAAACGUGCAUAAUGAAAUGACCAAAAUGCCCUUGAGAAAUCACAAGUUCGAGCAGAAACAAAACACGGAGCGACCUCAGCCCGUCGCUCCGACAAGUCGCUCCAGGCUUCGGGAGCGACCUCGCUGUGUCGCUGCGAGAGGUCGCUCCGGGCUCGUUCUGAGCAUCUCCGGGUGAUGAAAACGCGAGCGACUUCUCCCUGUCGCUCUGGUAUGGUCGCUCUGAGCUUCGGGAGCGACUUCAGCACGUCGCUCUGGAAGGUCGCUCCGAGGUGUAAAUGUGUGUCUCCAGACGUGAAAACGCGAGCGACCUUGUGCAGUCGCUCUGGAUGAGUCGCUCCGGGAUGUGGUGCACAGCGACCUCAUGCCGUCGCUCCGAAAGGUCGCUCCGGCUGUGCUCGUCCAAAGAUCACUCUUUUCACCUCUUUUGAGCUCCAAAUAACCUCAUGUGGUACUCCAGUACCUAAUAGAGACUCAUGUAUGCAAAAUGCAACCUAAACAUGUCUGAAUCCUAAUCUAUAUGAUGAAAAUGCUCAUGGAUGAAUGGAUAAAACAAUGCAAAUAUGCAAGAUAUCAACUCCCCCAAACUUGUUCUUUUACUUGUCCACAAGUGAACUUUCUAGAACUCAUAGGAAGAGAGGUUGAAGGUGGGAGCACAUAGCCAAAAGAAACACAACUAGCACACUCUCUUAUUACACUCUAGCUUCUCUAGGCCUAUCUUAACUCUUUUUGUUCUUACACUCAUCAUCAAGCAUCCACACAUUCAAAUCAACCAACUCUCACAUUCAUUAAGCACAAAACAUCAGGUGAAUUCUUGCAAAUGGUCAGUUGGUCCAAGUCAUUUGGUUGGGUAAGGGAAGGCUUUUAUUCAAGUGAUUCAAGAGGUUCAAAACAUAUUAUCUUUAAGGUGGUUUACUCUCAAAACAAGUAGCCUUGACAUUGCACAUAAUAUAUCUAAGAAAGGGACCAACUCAUGCAUACAAUGCUCAAUCUCCAUUGUUCUACCCUUUUCCCAAACAUAUCAUUACACAAUCAUUCCCAAAUGUCAAACCCAACUCACAUCUCUCACCAAAAGAUCUUAAGAACUUUAACUCUUUCUUUUUGAAAUCUACAAGGGAUUUUUCUACAACCUCAAAACAUUUCUUAGCUCCUAACAACUUUGCUAGCCCCCUUUUCUUUUUUUUUUUUUUUUUAGGAAACAGCUAUGACCAUGUUCACUUACCUACUGGGCCCGCGCGCCAAACGAAUGGUCUAGAAAGCUUCUCGAGGGCCGAGGCGGCCUUUUUUUUUUUUUUUUUUUUUUUUUAUAUAUAUUUUUUUUUUUUUAGGUUGGGGGCCAAGACUUUUCAAAACUAGAGCUAGAGGUUCUCUACUUAUCCCAGAAAAUCAAUUCACUUAAGCACAAAGAGUCUAUCCUUUUUAUUUUUCAUUUCUCCCAAAUCAUGAUCACAACACUCACCCUCCCACCUAUAGCUAGACAAAAGAGUGUCCAAUCUAGCAAAAAUGAAGAUCAAGCAUUGUCGUUCCCGAUACUCUCAACAUUAUGCGCAUGUAAGACUUUCCGAAGAAGGCCUCACUCAUCAAACAAUGAAAGCUUAAAAGGAAGGAAAG